UACGGAGGAUCCAAGCGUUAUCCGGAAUCAUUGGGUUUAAAGGGUCCGUAGGCGGUUUUGUAAGUCAGUGGUGAAGGCCCAUCGCUCAACGGUGGAACGGCCAUUGAUACUGCAAGACUUGAAUUAUUAGGAAGUAACUAGAAUAUGUAGUGUAGCGGUGAAAUGCUUAGAUAUUACAUGGAAUACCAAUUGCGAAGGCAGGUUACUACUAAUGGAUUGACGCUGAUGGACGAAAGCGUGGGGAGCGAACAGG
Molecule: ribosomal RNA, 253 nt
Filed under: uncultured bacterium
Lineage: Bacteria
Description: partial 16S ribosomal RNA
Rfam family: Bacterial small subunit ribosomal RNA
Source: RNAcentral